CUGAAUAAAUCAACAUUUCGAUAUCAACAUCAUUCUCCGAUGGAAAUUGAUCUCCUAAAUCUUCUACGACGUAUAUUUUGUCUGGCGUAAGCUCAACGUCCACGUUUGUGUUGAAAUUGAGAUGUCUUACGAAGCUCAAGUUCUCCCAAAUUGCAGAACCGAGCUGAAACCUUACGUUGGUCAGAUUUGGACACAAAUUCUCAAAUGGUGUCAAAACCUGGCAUACUAUUGUAUGCAGCAGGCAAGGAGAAAAGUGAGAUGUCGACGAAGAGGGUAGUGCUACCAAACGUAGACGUCGUUCUAGCAGAUGUCAUUGCAAUGCCAAACUUACGUUGAAGUGUUCAACGGAUUCCGGCAGUCCUCAAUAUGUUGUCAGCAACUUUGUAGACCAACACAAUCACGAGAUGGUCGAUAAAAAGCAUGUCAGAUACAUGAAAUCCAACUGUAACCUUGGGGAUAUUCAUUAUAAAUUCAUGCAGGACUACGCAAAGGCCAACAUUGGACCUACAAUGACUUUCAAUUUAUUGAAGGAGUUCCUGGAUGGCUAUGAUUCUGUGGGUUGCACCGUUACUGGCAUACGGAAUGGCAAUCACGACAAAAUGCAAGAAAUGAAAGGCAUUGAUGUCCAAAUCAUUUUAAAUCAAAUGGAGGACAAAAAGAACACAUGUGAUAGUUUCCAUUAAAAUUCCAGCAAGUUAGUGAUGGAAAGUUACUUAGUCUUUUUUGGUGUGACGUUAUGUCGUGAAAGAACUACAAGAUGUUCGGUCACAUUGUAUCCUUGGAUACUACGUACUCAACAAACAGGUAAUCACACGUGU
This is a non-coding RNA of Salvia hispanica, 818 nucleotides long. Lineage: Eukaryota; Viridiplantae; Streptophyta; Magnoliopsida; Lamiales; Lamiaceae. The record is from RefSeq and is a predicted model, not a curated record.